UAGAGUAUUUCCUCAUAUAAUAUUUUUAGCCUUCUUGCAUCAAAUUGUAAUCAUAUUUUCACAUUAUUUACUCGAAAGAUAUUCAAAUACUCAUAUUAUGUCACAUUUACAACACUACUCCAUCUUUUGCAGAAAAGGGUGAUAAGGCCCAAAUCCUUCUAUAUUGGAGUGUCUAAGACGUUGCGGUUGCUGCAUUUUGCAGAGGGACUCGAGUGUGAAGAAGAAUUAACCUACAUGGGCUAGCUGAAGAAGAAGGGGACCAACUUGGGAAGAAAGAAGAAAACAAGGAGGGCUAAACAAGGAGAAUGCAGAUCUGAUCGAGAGGGGUAAAAUCCCCAGCCAUCUUCUUCGAUCCCCUUAGGCCUGGCAUCUCUAUCUCCCUCACCCUACUUCUCCACCUCCGGCCGCCGCCACGGCCAGGCCGGCGUGGUUGUCUGCCUCCCACCUCAUCACCAUCUCCAUCCACCACUCCCCGAAGCCAUCCAUCUCCACCGUCCGCGCCAAGCACCACCAGCACCACUCCAUCUCCACCGCGCCUUCACCAUCACCUCGCGCGCCCUACCAGACGCGGUGGUCUAGUGCCUCGCGCGACCUCUCCCUCCAGCCGGCGCGCCUCUCCCUGCUGUUUCCCCAACUUCUUCUUCCCUUUGCUGCUCCUCCACCUCUCCUCGUCCCCCAAACUGCUUGCUGCUUCUCCUUCUAUGAACCCUUGCUGCUGCUGCCGCUUCUUCUUGCGCCCUCCGUUGCUGCUGCUCUCUUCUCCCACGUCUUUGCUGCUGCUCCUCUUCUUGCGUCCCUGCUGAUUCCUCUCCUUCCCCUUGCUGCUGCUCCUCCUUCUCUCCAAAACUGCUGCUGCUCCCUCUCCCAUGAACCUGCUGCUACUCUUCUCUCCUUGCUGCUCCUAGUUCUUCUCUGAACUAAAACUGCUGCUGCUUCUCUCCUCUCUUACUUCUUGCAAAUUUCUGAAAACUGCUAGGUGAACCUUGUGUAAUAUUCAGAUUUGUGCCUUGAGAUGCUUAUGUAAUAUUCAGAUUUGAAGUGUACUUGCAAUCUGCUGUUUGCUCUGUUUAAGUACUUGUAUAAUAUAGUGUAUGUGUUUUGAGAUCUGACUAGUUGAGGCUUUGUUACUUUGAGAGAUACUUGAUCUAUCAUAUUUUGGUUUUGUCAAUUGGUAUUCUGCUAGUAUGUGUGUGUGUGUGUGUGUGUGUAAUUCAUCAAAACAAAUUGUUGUGUGCUGAUGAUUAAUGUCCAGUUUACUGUUCCUGCGAUAUAUACAUAUGUGUGUUUGUGAUGUGAUACAUAUAUACCUGUGAUUUUAUUUUGUAGUGAGACUGCUCUUUGUGAAGUCAGAGGUGUGAUUGUUUUUAAUCUCAAGUUCAAUGUGCUAGCUAUGCACCAGUGACAUAUGUGACAUGUAUAUGUGAUGUGAAACAAUUGUAUGCUGUCCCUAAUCUUGUUCCUUCCGCGUGUCUUAUACUUGCUAGUUUUAUAUACAUAUAUGUGUUCUUGUCUUGUUAGUUCCCUUUGUUGAAGUUGUCCCCCUGUAGUUUUUAUUUCUCAAGUUCUAGGAAAACACCAAAAAGAUAGUAAGUAAUCUGAACCUCCCUUUGCUAUUUUGCAUUUUCUUUGUGGAUUAUCUUCGGGAACAAUCAUUGUUAGUUUAGAUUCUUAUUUUCUGCAUUUAUCUCUUAAAAUUUUGCUUCCUAGCUUUAGCCGAGCAUAGUCGUCGUCGCCUAGUCCCUGUGGAGAACACGACAUCCGUAGUUUGGGGCGUAAAACCCCCGCUAUACUUUCAAUUGAUCAUUUUGGCGCCGUUGCCGGGGACUAGCGUCGAGCGUUUGUGUGAGGCUUUAGACUAGGUUUAGCUUGUUUCCUUUUUGUGCUUUAUAUAUUUGUGAUAUAUCUCUAGCCACUAACCCCUGUUCUAGUUAGUAUCUUUUUGUCUUCUUUUCCUUUUUGCAGGUUGGAUUAUCCUCUCGGUUAUGGCUUACUAUUCAGAUCAUCAGGCUUAUGCGAGCAACACUACAAACAACACGAAAAGUGUUCAAGAACUGAUAGGUAAGAUUUCCCAUCGAUUAGAUGAUUUAGCUCGGCAGCGAGAAGGAGUUUUUGAGGAUAGGCCUAGCUCUUAUGAUCCUUAUUCUAGAGGCUAUCCUUAUGUUGCUCCUACCUGCCAUAUUUGUGGAUUUUAGGGCCAUUCGCCCGCUGAAUGUCAGCGUGGUUACUCCCAUCCUCCGGAUUGUUUUGGCAUGAGCUUCGCUCAACAGCAUAGCUCAUACCAAAACAAUUACACACAUGGGUGGCCUGAAAACCAGAAUAUGUCAUAUAGGAGCAAUAACCCUGAGAUCUCAUCGUUUGCUUCUAGUAAUCAUAUGCAGGGAUUUAGGUACAAUGAGGAGAGCCACAACUAUGCACCACAACAAUUCCAUUCAGCUCCUACUCAUAUACCACAACACCAGGAGAUGUGUCCAAUGGAGUUAAAUGGUCCUCCAUUUGGUCAACCAACAACUCCAGCACCUGUUGUGCAAUCUCAUGUGCAAGUGCCCACACAAGAUGAGUUAGAUGACAUAGACAAGCUCACACUUUUGAGUCUCGAGUUCACUUGGAGUGCCGAGGAUGAUCCUAUUAGGAAGGUUAUACUAGAGGAAAUGAAGAAGAUUAAGAGUGGAAAGGAGCUAGUCGAAGAAGUAAGGAAGAUUGAGAAGAACAUCAACGCUGGCAGCACUAUUUCUUCACAACUUGAGUUGAGUGUGGCUGAGAUAUCCAUGGAUACAUGUGAGGUUCCAACACCUUCACAUUUCGUUGAGCAAGAUAGCAAGUGCCUUGAGCAAGAGAUACCUCAGAUUGUAGAAGAUGAACUAGAAGACAAGGAACAAGAUGGUCAAGAGCUGCAAUUCCCAAGUGAUCAAGUUGAAGACUCAUCAUCUAUUACUCCUGAUGAAGUACAAGAAGCUGCUGUAGAUGAAGAUGAAGAACAUGAGAUUCAUUGGCCUAUUAUCAUACAUGAGCAUGAUGUGUCAGGUUUACUCAAUCCUCUUGAUGACAUGAUGCCUUGUGAUUUCUUUGCUACUACCUUGCAUUACAUGAUACCAUCACUUAAGAUUGAUUUGAAAAAUCAUUUGCUUGGAUAUGAUGAUAUAUACCCUGUUAGUGGCAUUACUCUCAUUUGUGAUGAUCAUAGUUACUUUCCUCGUGCUAGUCCUAUGCUAAAUGAAACAUAUCAUUCCCAUGCUAGUCUUGAGCUUAAUGAUAAAUAUCAUCCUCAUGUUAGUGUUGACCUUGCUGAUUUCUACCAUCCUAAACAUGUGCUUUAUAGCUAUGCUUAUGUAAUUGGAUAUUCGAUUGAUGACUUGGAGGGUAUUAUCCCUACCACUUGCAUUGUCUCUUUGGUUGAGUGCUCUUUCAGGUUGUUGCUUGUGCACGAUCCACUACAUGCUGACCAGGUUCGAGGUGACAUUCCUUGGGAUCCUGGUGGAGUCAGAGCAUGGCGAUGAGGAGAAGCAAUGGGGCACACAUAUGGAAGAGUGAAGCUGGAGCAUCCAUGAGGAAUCAAGGGAGAAGAGCUGCAGCUGGUGAGGUGAUCGAGCGAGUGCUACAUGAUCAAAGCCCGGUGAGCUGUUUCAUGACCCAUUCCUAGUAUAUCAUCCAUUGAUACAUGCUGAAAUCAAAUGUUAUUUGGGUUGCUUAAGCCAUGUCUUAAAUGUUGCCCUACUGAAUUUUACUUGACAUAUGGUGCUUGAUGAGAAUAUGUGAACUGAGUGUUGAAUGCCUGGUAAACUAGUGAUCUAUACAAUGCUUGCUUUGCUGAAAGUAGUGGAAGUUAUUAGUUUUGAGUGCUCAAAUCCCUAGUAUACUAGAAAACUUAAUCAUUUUCUGCUUUUAACUCGAUACACCUAGAUCACCACGUUUAGAUGCUGAAUUUGUGCUAAGUGUGUUCCCAUUGAGAGCAAUCACCUAACAACUAUGGAUUAGCAUGCUAUGUUCCCUGGAUCGGUAGCAUGUGAACCAGACAUGGAGAAGUGAUGAUUCCUAUUUCUGUGCUUAUGUGUUGUUCAUUUAAGAUAAGUAAUAAUGAAUAAAUAAGUCUGACUACCUACAGUAGCAUGUCAUGUUCCCGGGAUCGGUGGCAUGUGAAAUCGGGUUAGCUUGGGCAGUAAUUAAUAAUAAAAAAAUGUAAUUGUCGAACCAGGUGUAUACCAUGUUCUCGGGAUCGGUGGUAUGUUCCUUUGGGGAGACAAACAAAAAAAACUAAUAAUUGGUCGAGCCAGGUGUAUACUAUGUUCUCGGGAUUGGUGGUAUGUUCCUAUGGUGAGACUAAUAAUAAUAUAAUCAUUGCUUUAUCUCUGUAAAUAAGUGAUUUGAUCACAAGAUUUAAUUCCAGUUCAUUUUGUUCUUGGGAUCAUGCUCUCUUUAGGAACCUUUGGCACAAUCAUCAUUUGAACUUGUUGAUCCCACUUUUAUCAUUGUAAAAGUUUAAAAUGAUUGAGUCUACUAGUAUCCUACUGCUUUGAAGCACUCCUGACCAUUGAUUUUCACUAGCAAAGUUCAAAGCAUGCUUUGUUUGGAGAUCUACUUCACUUGGCAUUCUCUAGUCAGCUCACUGUUCACAAUCUUGCUCUUGUCAUAUUUCUUUGCUUGAGGACAAGCAAAGAUUUAAGUGUGGGGGAACUUGAUAGAGUAUUUCCUCAUAUAAUAUUUUUAGCCUUCUUGCAUCAAAUUGUAAUCAUAUUUUCACAUUAUUUACUCGAAAGAUAUUCAAAUACUCAUAUUAUGUCACAUUUACAACACUACUCCAUCUUUUGCAGAAAAGGGCGAUAAGGCCCAAAUCCUUCUAUAUUGGAGUGUCUAAGAGGUUGCGGUUGCUGCAUUUUGCAGAGGGACUCGAGUGUGAAGAAGAAUUAACCUACAGGGGCUAGCUGAAGAAGAAGGGGACCAACUUGGGAAGAAAGAAGAAAACAAGGAGGGCUAAACAAGGAGAAUGCAGAUCUGAUCGAGAGGGGUAAAAUCCCCAGCCAUCUUCUUCAAUCCCCUUAGGCCUGGCAUCUCUAUCUCCCUCACCCUACUUCUCCACCUCCGGCCGCCGCCACGGCCAGGCCGGCGUGGUGGUGCGCCUCCCACCUCAUCACCAUCUCCAUCCACCACUCCCCGAAGCCAUCCAUCUCCACCGUCCGCGCCAAGCACCACCAGCACCACUCCAUCUCCACCGCGCCUUCACCAUCACCUCGCGCGCCCUACCAGACGCGGUGGUCUGGUGCCUCGCGCGACCUCUCCCUCCAGCCGGCGUGCCUCUCCCUGCUGUUUCCCAACUUCUUCUUCCCUUUGCUGCUCCUCCACCUCUCCUCGUCCCCCAAACUGCUUGCUGCUUCUCCUUCUAUGAACCCUUUCUGCUGCUGCCGCUUCUUCUUGCGCCCUCCACUGUUACUGCUCUCUUCUCCCACGUCUUUGCUGCUGCUCCUCUUCUUGCGUCCCUGCUGAUUCCUCUCCUUCCCCUCGCUGCUGCUCCUCCUUCUCUUCAAAACUGCUGCUGCUCCCUCUCCCACGAACCUGCUGCUGCUCUUCUCUCCUUGCUGCUCCUAGUUCUUCUCUGAACUAAAACUGCUGCUGCUUCUCUCCUCUCUUACUUCUUGCAAAUUUCUGAAAACUGCUAGGUGAACCUUGUGUAAUAUUCACAUUUGUGCCUUGAGAUGCUUAUGUAAUAUUCAGAUUUGAAGUGUACUUGCAAUCUGCUGUUUGCUCUGUUUAAGUACUUGUAUAAUAUAGUGUAUGUGUUUUGAGAUCUGACUAGUUGAGGCUUUGUUACUUUGAGAGAUACUUGAUCUAUCAUAUUUUGGUUUUGUCAAUUGGUAUUCUGCUAGUAUGUGUGUGUGUGUGUGUAAUACAUCAAAAAUAUUGUUGUGUGCUGAUGAUUAAUGUCCAGUUUACUGUUCCUGCGAUAUAUACAUAUGUGUGUUUGUGAUGUGAUACAUAUAUACCUGUGAUUUUAUUUUGUAGUGAGACUGCUCUUUGUGAAGUCAGAGGUGUGAUUGUUUUUAAUCUCAAGUUCAAUGUGCUAGCUAUGCACCAGUGACAUAUGUGACAUGUAUAUGUGAUGUGAAACAAUUGUAUGCUAUCCCUAAUCUUGUUCCUUCCGCAUGUCUUAUACUUGCUAGUUUUAUAUACAUAUAUGUGUUCUUGUCUUGUUAGUUCCCUUUGUUGAAGUUGUCCCCCUGUAGUUUUUAUUUCUCAAGUUCUAGGAAAACACCAAAAAGAUAGUAAGUAAUAUCUGAACCUCCCUUUGCUAUUUUGCAUUUUCUUUGUGGAUUAUCUUCGGGAACAAUCAUUGUUAGUUUAGAUUCUUAUUUUCUG
Molecule: long non-coding RNA, 6345 nt
Filed under: Triticum aestivum (bread wheat)
Lineage: Eukaryota; Viridiplantae; Streptophyta; Magnoliopsida; Poales; Poaceae
Description: long non-coding RNA (TAES_LNC026803)
Source: RNAcentral